This 559-nucleotide ribosomal RNA is filed under the name uncultured fungus. Its description in RNAcentral is "eukaryotic LSU rRNA". The stretch from base 182 to 335 matches the Rfam family "5.8S ribosomal RNA". Lineage: Eukaryota; Fungi. The record is from RNAcentral.
AGUAAAAGUCGUAACAAGGUCUCCGUUGGUGAACCAGCGGAGGGAUCAUUAGAGAGUGCAAACUCCCAGACCCGUGUGAACGUACCCCGGUUGCCUCGGCGGGGGGGCUCUGCCCUGCCGCCAAAGGCCCUAUAAACUCUGUUUUGACCUGAAACUCUGAAUCAUAAAGCAAAUAAGUUAAAACUUUCAACAACGGAUCUCUUGGUUCUGGCAUCGAUGAAGAACGCAGCGAAAUGCGAUAAGUAAUGUGAAUUGCAGAAUUCAGUGAAUCAUCGAAUCUUUGAACGCACAUUGCGCCCGCCGGCACUCCGGCGGGCAUGCCUGUCCGAGCGUCAUUUCGACCCUCAGGCCCCUGGGCCUGGUGUUGGGGCCCCGCGCGCGCCGCGGGCCCUGAAAAUCAGUGGCGGGACGCCCCUCGAUCCCGAGCGCAGUAGACAUACCUCGCUCAGGGCGCGUAGGGCGCCUCCCCGCCGUAAAACACCCCCCGUCGCAAGACGCAGGUUGACCUCGGAUCAGGUAGGAAUACCCGCUGAACUUAAGCAUAUCAAUAAGCGGAGGA